RNAcentral lists this ribosomal RNA (330 nucleotides) under uncultured eukaryote. Its description in RNAcentral is "partial 18S ribosomal RNA". It matches the Rfam family "Eukaryotic small subunit ribosomal RNA", at positions 1470 to 1796 of the family's 1831-position model. The record is from RNAcentral.
CCCUUAGAUGUUCGGGGCCGCACGCGCGCUACACUGAAGGAAUCAGCACGUCUUUCUCCUUGUCCGAAAGGACUGGGUAACCCGCUGAACCUCCUUCGUGCUAGGGAUUGGGGCUUGUAAUUCUUCCCCGUGAACGAGGAAUUCCCAGUAAGCGCGAGUCAUAAGCUCGCGUUGAUUACGUCCCUGCCCUUUGUACACACCGCCCGUCGCUACUACCGAUUGGAUGGUUUAGUGAGAUCCUCGGAUUGGUCCCGGCGCGGCCUCUGGUCGUGCCGGAGUGCCGAAAAGAAUGUCGAACUUGAUCAUCUAGAGGAAGUAAAAGUCGUAACA